Coturnix japonica (Japanese quail) is the source of this 3052-nucleotide non-coding RNA. Lineage: Eukaryota; Metazoa; Chordata; Aves; Galliformes; Phasianidae. The record is from RefSeq and is a predicted model, not a curated record.
ACAGAUGCAAUACAAAGAGUGGUGUUUUAUGCAGUGUUGUGCAAUGAAUAGCAUCUUACUCAGUAUUUUUGUGAUUUGUGAUUCGUUUGAUACAAGGAAUAAGAUAAUAUUAUUCUAAACACACACACACACAUUAAACAUAUACAUACAAUUCUUACAUUUAUUUUAUCCUUUAGGCACUUUCCUGCUUAGUUCACUUUGCUUCUACAAGGAGAUCUUUACUCAGCAAUCCAGAACAUGCCAGGUAUCUCUGUAAUCUAAUCAAAGGAGUGAAAUAAAUACUUGAAAAUCCACAGUGUUUGGACGUCUGGCAUGGCUUGUCUGCUUUGUGGGUACUUUUAUGAGGGGAAGAUGAACGUACCCUAACGCUGAUGAAGAUGAUGAACACUGAUGAAGAUAUGGAGAAUUGUCCUGUUGGGCGUUUCAGCUGUUGUCUUUGAUGGAUGCCUGCUUAACACAGUCUAAUAAUGAAAAAGUAGAACUGGCAAUUCUGUGGUUCUUGGAUCAGUCCGGCUUCAGCACAUCUCAAAGAUGUUUAUUUCUAGGUGUAUGCCCACAUUUCAGAAGUCUUAUGAGUAAGAGAUGACAACUGUGUUCUGGAAAUAUUUAUGACAAAAACCGUAUGUUGAUCAGGCUGGCAAGAGAUCUUCGAGGGAUUGCCUUUGCACUAAACACAAAGACCAGCUACACCAUGCUGUUUGACUGGAUGUAUCCUUAUUACGCUGUGACAAUACCAGCUCUGUGCACAGAGGGAUACCAGGCCCCUUGCAUUAGUUUAAUAGUAUGGCACAGUGGGGAAGAGGAAACAAAGCUAAAUGAACUAAUGUGUAAUCAGCUAAAAUUACAGCACAAUGGCAACCAUGCAGUUAACUGGGAAAGACCACAGAGAGGUCACUUUUUUUGUUAUGUCACACUACUAAUCUGGAAAACAUAUCCAAAUGGUCCCUGCCCCCGCUUUAAUCCAUAAUGUUUUUGUAAAGAGAAAGCUGUGUCUUUAAGCACAAUGUACCUAUGGUUGUUUUAACCAGAAGUGCUUUAAAAAAAAAUCCUGUACGAGUGCAAUCUGGGGGGAUUUCUCUCUGGUAUGAAUCAUGUCUUUAAUUUAGUCAGUUACUGUCUAUUUAUGUCAGCUCUAUUAAUAUCACAACACCUGCAGUCUUCCUGAUCGGAAGAAAAUGGACUUCUGAAACCAAAAUCCGAAUGUUUAGGCUGCAGCUUUCUUAGAUAUGUGAUGAUAAUGGGGCUCUAUUUGCUUUCGGUGGUGUAUAUAUUUUUGUACCAACAAAUAUGAUAAUUCUCGUGGGUAUUUUCUGAAUACUUAGAGAAAUGUUUUGUAUUUUCAUAAAUACAGUAGCCGUAAUUCUUUUUAGGCAGAGUCAUAUUAGUAAAAAAAAUACUGCAGUAUGCAGUGAAGCCACUGCAGCCAUUGGCUGUAUAAUUUAGAUCAGAGCUGUGGAAGUUAAUUUUAUGUUUAUAGUAUGUUUAUUCUGUGAACAGAAAAAAAUAACGUUCAAGUGCAGCUGCAUGUUUUAUUAGACAGGAAGCUUCUAAAAAUAUUUCAGUUAAAUAAAAAAACAUCUUUUGUUUGCUGUUUUUGAGAGGGGAAAAAUAUGCAUGAUCAGAAAUGGUGACUGGGACGUUAUCCUGAGAGGAUGACAGGCUGUAGAACUGAGCCCGAUACGAUCUGAUAGACAUCCCUGCGUGGUGGGCAGGAGGAUUGUGAUGACCAUUCAGAUAAGCCCUAUUUGAGACCUUAACAAGCUAAAAAUGAUUCUAUCCAUGUGCAGGCUCUGCUUGCAUGACACAGCUUACAGGAAAAAAAAAAACCAAAACAUCCAAACCAGAAGGCAAUAUAAUCUCUUUUUUUUUUUUUUCCUUUAAAAAAUCAAUGGAAAGCAUCACUUAAUUUCGUGUUUAGAGGACUGGAGAGGAAAAAAAAGCCAAACAAACCACUGAAGCCAGCCUGUGAAUUAGCAUCUCAUUUUCUAGUGAGCGCCAUUGGGAAUUCCAAAAUGGAGAUUUGGAGUCUUUUACCACCUCCCUUUUGUGUACAUGGGGCUGCUGAGAAGACCGAGGAGGAAGUCUGGCUUUGGAGAUGAGUUGCUCAGCUCAGUCUAUUCCCUGAAUACAUUUCUGUUCUGCAAAGAGCUAUUGGACUGUGGUACGAGGAGCCUGCGUGUACAACACCUAUAUUGAAGCUGGUGACAGAAUUCCUGCUAAAUGGGUGAUCAGAUCCUCUCUCUUGGGGCUUUGUCAGAAGAUCAGGUUUAUCUGCUGAAACUCAGGGGCAUUUCCAUUUCCAUCUGUUACUCCGCACUCAAAUCUGCCUUAUGUGGAAAUUAUAUCAGCUUUGACGUGUUGUGGGGACAACCACUUUGACAACGUACUUCAGGCCUUUGUUGAAACGCUGCUUUUCAGUAUCCCACAGUGACCUGCUAAACUGUCAUUUUCUUGCUGGAAGAGACAAAUUCUGAAUAGUUAGAGAUGGUUAAUAUCCAGAUUUGUGCCUAUUGCAAGAAGAAGAUCCUUAGAACUGGAAGAGCUUCUCUCGGUACAGUCGUCUCUUCCAGCUGUUGUGCCAGUUUAGACUACAUUGUCCCGUACCUCUUCAGGCACCCAGCUAAAGAGGGUGAGAAGGCUCUGAAGCACAGCGACUUCACAGGAUGGACAAGGGUUGAAUAAUUUCAUGCAGCAUCACCUGGAAGUGCUACAGCAGAUGAUGCCAGUCCUAAUGAACACCAUCACUUUUGAAGACUGCGGGAGCCUAUGGUAUGUGUCGAGACCACUGCUUGGACUUACACUUCUCAAUGGGAGGGGUUCUCCCAGGACAUGUUGAUAUUCCAAAGGCAGCCAUGGCCAAGGCACUGUGCAGCGAAGGGUCAGCCAAUGUGGGCAGCAUGGAUAUGAAGAACUGACAAGGACUAGGGAAAGCAGAGCUGGCUAAUGGGACUGUUCGGAAAGCUUUGGAGCCCUGGUUAUAUUGUUAGAUUUUGACCCUUGCGGAAACUAUUUGUUGAGAUAACUUCUAAAAUAAAUAUGCUUUUCUUCUUUA